UGGGGAAUAUUGCACAAUGGGCGCAAGCCUGAUGCAGCCAUGCCGCGUGUAUGAAGAAGGCCUUCGGGUUGUAAAGUACUUUCAGCGGGGAGGAAGGUGUUGUGGUUAAUAACCACAGCAAUUGACGUUACCCGCAGAAGAAGCACCGGCUAACUCCGUGCCAGCAGCCGCGGUAAUACGGAGGGUGCAAGCGUUAAUCGGAAUUACUGGGCGUAAAGCGCACGCAGGCGGUGUGUCAAGUCGGAUGUGAAAUCCCCGGGCUCAACCUGGGAACUGCAUCCGAAACUGGCAGGCUUGAGUCUUGUAGAGGGGGGUAGAAUUCCAGGUGUAGCGGUGAAAUGCGUAGAGAUCUGGAGGAAUACCGGUGGCGAAGGCGGCCUCCUGGACAAAGACUGACGCUCAGGUGCGAAAGCGUGGGGAGCAAACA
RNAcentral lists this ribosomal RNA (427 nucleotides) under uncultured bacterium. Its description in RNAcentral is "partial 16S ribosomal RNA". It matches the Rfam family "Bacterial small subunit ribosomal RNA", at positions 355 to 774 of the family's 1533-position model. The record is from RNAcentral.